AGUGAACGCUGGCGGUAGGCCUAACACAUGCAAGUCGAACGGCAGCACAGUAAGAGCUUGCUCUUACGGGUGGCGAGUGGCGGACGGGUGAGGAAUACAUCGGAAUCUACUUUUUCGUGGGGGAUAACGUAGGGAAACGUACGCUAAUACCGCAUACGACCUACGGGUGAAAGCAGGGGAUCUUCGGACCUUGCGCGAUUGAAUGAGCCGAUGUCGGAUUAGCUAGUUGGCGGGGUAAAGGCCCACCAAGGCGACGAUCCGUAGCUGGUCUGAGAGGAUGAUCAGCCACAUUGGAAUUGGGACACGGUCCAUACGCCUUAGGGUAGCGACAGUCGGGAAUAGUAGACAAUGGGCGCAAGCCUGAUCCAGCCAUACCGCGUGGGUGAAGAAGGCCUUCGGGUUGUAAAGCCCUUUUGUUGGGAAAGAAAAGCAGCAGGUUAAUACCCCGCUGUUCUGACGGUACCCAAAGAAUAAGCACCGGCUAACUUCGUG
Molecule: ribosomal RNA, 492 nt
Filed under: uncultured bacterium
Lineage: Bacteria
Description: partial 16S ribosomal RNA
Rfam family: Bacterial small subunit ribosomal RNA
Source: RNAcentral